Lontra canadensis (Northern American river otter) is the source of this 104-nucleotide small nuclear RNA. NCBI's taxonomy places the organism in Eukaryota, Metazoa, Chordata, Mammalia, Carnivora, Mustelidae. The record is from RefSeq and is a predicted model, not a curated record.
GUGCUCACUUCAGCAGCACAGAUACUAAAAUUGGAACAACACCGAGAAGAUUAACAGGGCCCCACACAAGGAUGACACAGAUUUGUGAAGCUUUCCAUAUUUUU